GCAUUUAGAACAGGUGUUGCCAACUUUUGGAGUACAGUUAGACUUUCUUGGCAUUCUGUGGGCAGCCCACUCUGCUUCUUUCUUCCAGACAUGGAGGCAUUCGGGAGUUCUGUGGGCACCAGAAGCGCCAGUGCGCCUUUGGGUGCUGUACUGGAGAGCCGAUUUAGCAUCACAGCCUAAACAAGGCAGCGUGGCUUCCACAAGGAUUAAGCCCUGUCUGCCAUAAUAUUUACUCUUCAGAACGUCAAUCCUGUAAAUAUGUGGCUCUGAAGGACAUCAUCUGCUUGGACUUUUGGAAAUCUGCCUCAUGAAAGACUUCUGAGGAAGCGCAACAGUUACAGGAUAAAAGGGCAGACUGUUCUACGAGAUAAGUAGACCGGUCAAAGGCCAGACCAGCUAGCAGGAUUAGGCUGAGGUCCUUCAAGAUGGAAAGGUGUGUCCUCCUGCGCUGGGACCUGGGAUUUAUUAUUUUUAACUUGUUCAUAAAUGAUCUACGUGGGCUGCGUACAGUCAAAAGCGAGUGGUUAGAAUAGCCAGGUUUGCUGAUGACGUCAAAUCGUUCAGAGGGGUUUAAAGGAGGAUCGUGAAGGUUGCUGGGACCGAUUUAAAAGGGCCUCAACAUGGCAAGAGUUUUUCAAGGUGAGUAGCCAGUGAUGCACACUCGAGCAAAAANUGUCUACCCGUGCGGUAAUACCUGCGAGGUCUCUGCUUUUGGGGUUGUUGCGGGCUGCGAGAGGAGUUGAAAAAGCUGGACUGUGUAUUAAGGAUUUACGCCGUCGGUUAUGUCCUUCCGGCCUGUGUGGAGCUGGGCCGGGCUCGGGUCAGGCUUUUUCCCAGGGUGGGUGUCCGCUCUGCACUGGAGAAGGGGGUUUGUGCUUUUAGGUGCAAAUCGCUGCUAGACUACGUGUAAGAAAGGCAGCAAUAAGCGUCAGGAAAGGAAGGAAGGGCAAGCGGUGUCUGCCAACAUCGUAGCGCCCUUCCUUCAAGGCCCUGAGUGCCGUGUGACCCCCCCCCCCGUUUGGAAGAUCCGCGUUGGCUCGCGGACCCAGCAGGCCGGGCGCCGCAGCAGAAAAGUCCUCGCAAGGCGAGGAAGGCCGGAGCCGGAGGGGCGGCCACACUGCAGCAGCGGGGCCUCCUGGCUAGAGGGAGGUGUGGCGCGCGCGCGCCCACCGGGCGAGGGCUGGCGCGAGGGCCGAGCGCGAAGCGCGUUGUUUGCAGCGGGCCGCCCGAGCUCCCGGCGUCAUCGCGGCGCGCAGGCCAGGAGGCGGCGCCUGUCCUUGGCCGGCAAUGUCAGCAGCAGUGGUGGCGGCGGCGGAGCACGUGGGCGCCCAGCGGGGCUGUGCGGACGGAGAGGAAAGCUGACGGAGAGGACAGGUCGGUGCCUGUCGGCCAGGGCAGCCACAGCAGACGCUCGGGGAUGGUGAGCUGGCUCCGCGCGCUGGAGAUGAGCCGUCGUCAGCCUCGGCCGGAGAGAACUGAGGGCUCCGGUGUGAGUCACCGCGGCCUCCCGCCUGCCACGGGGGCUUCCCCAGCGACGGAAGGAGCUGCUCCCNGGCACAACUAGGCGCCGUGACGCGUCUCCGCGAGGUGGCG
This is a long non-coding RNA of Salvator merianae (Argentine black and white tegu), 1593 nucleotides long. The record is from Ensembl. Lineage: Eukaryota; Metazoa; Chordata; Lepidosauria; Squamata; Teiidae.